GAUGAACGCUGGCGGCGUGCCUAACACAUGCAAGUCGAGCGAUUCUCUUCGGAGAAGAGCGGCGGACGGGUGAGUAACGCGUGGGUAACCUGCCCUGUACACACGGAUAACAUACCGAAAGGUAUGCUAAUACGAGAUAAUAUGCUUUUAUCGCAUGGUAGAAGUAUCAAAGCUUUUGCGAUACAGGAUGGACCCGCGUCUGAUUAGCUAGUUGGUAAGGUAACGGCUUACCAAGGCGACGAUCAGUAGCCGACCUGAGAGGGUGAUCGGCCACAUUGGAACUGAGACACGGUCCAAACUCCUACGGGAGGCAGCAGUGGGGAAUAUUGCACAAUGGGCGAAAGCCUGAUGCAGCAACGCCGCGUGAGCGAUGAAGGCCUUCGGGUCGUAAAGACGUCUGUCCUCAAGGAAGAAUAAAUAGACGGUACGUUGAGGAAGGAAGACCCCGGCCUAACCUACGUAGCCAGCAGCCGCGGUAAGUAUACACGUGUA
RNAcentral lists this ribosomal RNA (492 nucleotides) under uncultured bacterium. Its description in RNAcentral is "bacterial SSU rRNA". It matches the Rfam family "Bacterial small subunit ribosomal RNA", at positions 28 to 536 of the family's 1533-position model. The record is from RNAcentral.